This 42-nucleotide ribosomal RNA is filed under the name Fusarium fujikuroi. RNAcentral describes it as "partial 18S ribosomal RNA". Lineage: Eukaryota; Fungi; Ascomycota; Sordariomycetes; Hypocreales; Nectriaceae. The record is from RNAcentral.
GUCUUCCGGCAUGCUCUGCCAGACGACUGUGCACUGCCGAUU